Molecule: microRNA precursor, 67 nt
Organism: Gorilla gorilla gorilla (western lowland gorilla)
Lineage: Eukaryota; Metazoa; Chordata; Mammalia; Primates; Hominidae
Source: Ensembl
GCGGACUUCGCGGGCGAAGGCGAAGUCGAUUUCCAAAAGUGACUUUCCUCACUCCAGUGAAGUCGGC